CACGUAGUUAGCCGGAGCUUAUUCCUCAGGUACCGUCAAAUUCCUCUUUCUUCCCUGAUAAAAGAACUUUACAUUACGAAUAGCUUCUUCGUUCACGCGGCGUUGCUCGGUCAGGGUUCCCCCCAUUGCCGAAAAUUCCCUACUGCUGCCUCCCGUAGGAGUAUGGACCGUUCUCAGUUCCAUUGUGGCCGUUCAACCUCUCAGUCCGGCUACGCAUCAUCGCCUUGGUAGGCCCUUACCCCACCAACUAGCUAAUGCGCCACAGGCCCCUCCUUAAGCAGAUCUCUCUUUUAAAUAUAAAAGAUUCUUCCUCUAUAUCCUAUCCAGUUUUAUCCAUCGUUUCCAAUGGCUAUCCUCGUCUUAAGGGUAGGUUACCUAUGUAUUACUCACCCGUUCGCCACUAAAGUACCCGAAGGUACUUCCGUUCGACUUGCAUGUAUUAGGCACGCCGCCAGCGUUAAUCCUGAGCCAGGAUCAAACUCU
This 483-nucleotide ribosomal RNA is filed under the name uncultured Anaeroplasma sp. RNAcentral describes it as "partial 16S ribosomal RNA". Lineage: Bacteria; Bacillati; Mycoplasmatota; Mollicutes; Anaeroplasmatales; Anaeroplasmataceae. The record is from RNAcentral.